This is a long non-coding RNA of Acinonyx jubatus (cheetah), 2073 nucleotides long. RefSeq lists it as uncharacterized. The record is from RefSeq and is a predicted model, not a curated record. NCBI's taxonomy places the organism in Eukaryota, Metazoa, Chordata, Mammalia, Carnivora, Felidae. The transcript has 4 exons.
GAUUCCCAGUUGGUUCCAGAGACGCUUGGAGAACCGAUCUAACAUCUUGUUAGCUUUGUCUUUUUUCCGAGAAAUUUUUAGUGUUUGGUUUUCGAGACAGCGAGCGUGGGCGGGGAAGGAGCAGAGAAAGAGGGAGCCCCAGAAUCUGAAGCAGGCUCCAGGCUCUGAACUGUCAGCACAGAGCCAGAUCCGUGGCUCGAACUCCCCAACCGUGAGUUCAGGACCUGAGCCCAAACCCCACGCUUAGCGGACUGAGCCACCCAGGACCCCUGCAUUGUGGUUUUCUAACUAUACCCCCCGAGAGGGAAGUUCCACGAGGCCAGAGAUUCUUGUCUAUUUUGUUGAUUGCUCCGUUCAUACUUGGCUACAACAGUGCAUGGCGGCAUAGUAGGCUUUUAGUAUAUGCUUCAUUAAUUAACUUACAGAUCGCGGGGUUAAAAAAAAAAAAGUUUCUGGGGCGCCUGGGUGGCUCAGUCCAGUCAAGCAUCCUGACUCUUGAUUUCGGCUCAGGUCACGAUCUCACAGUUUGUGAGGAUCCACCCACCAGUCUACCCCAUCGGCCUCCAACCUAGCCUGGUUCAGCCCCUUCUCACUUUAGAAGAAUGGGAUCAUUUUACAAACCAUCAGAAAAAGGCCCUGCUGGAGACCCUAACAGGGUAAAAGUAAAUGUUCUGUCUCCCCUACACCUUGAACCAGAGUGAAGCAUGAUGGAAGAGCAGAAGAGGAAGGCAUGGGAGAAAACUAACUAAGGGGGAACAUCCCUAACGUUGAACAUAAGCAUAACUGAACCUAGCGAUCUGAGAUGAAUAGUGUAGCCACACUGGAAGAAAAAAAAAUAACCAACUGAAAUGACUUUUGGGCGCAGUACAUCGACUAUAACAUCUUCAAGUCCAAAGAUAAGAACUGCAAACACAUACUGAACUGUCCCAUAGUAGGAUGCUUGCUUUCAAGCCACCAUACUGUGAGGAAGCCUAAGCAGCUCCAUGGAAAAGCAACACGCAAAUGUUACAGCCAAUAGCCCCGGCUAAAGUCUCGGUUGGUAGCCAGUAUCACCCCCAGACACCUGAGUGAAAGAGCCUUCAGAGGAUUCUAGCCCACAGCCUUCAUAUGUUCCCUGUUGAGGCCCCAGACAUUAUGGAGUAAAGGCAAGCCACCUCUGUUCUGCCUUUUGUGAAUUCUUGACCCAAAGAAUUCAUUAGCAUAAUAAAAUGGCUGUCGUUUUAAGCUACUGAUUUUAGGAUGGUUUGUGCCACAGCAAUAAUAACCAGAACAACACCAAGACACCAAAAGAAAUGAAGACUGUGGUGCCUAUGGCAACGUGCCAUCUAGAUCUCCUUCAUGAGAAAUUGCUUGCUGCAAGGAGCAUAGUUUGUUCAGAGUCCCAGCUGCAAUCUCUCUAGAUCAGAACAAUAUUCAUCCCAAGGUUAUGAUACAUCCUUCCCUCCUUGCCUCAGCUGCACCCAAUGACAGAGCACAGGGGCCGUAGCACUAGCCCAGUCUUGCUGAUGCCGUACUGCCUCUAAUGAGCAACUUUGGCUGAGGACUCCCUUUUGAUCUGGACAAAACUUUCUUAAGACUGCGCUAUAGUCUGAAACUCCUCCUACCAAGUCCCUCUCCUUUCCCAGGUGUAGACCUGCACUAUGGUCUGAAGUCUCUUCAUGUCUAUCCUGCUCCUCCCUCUUUGUUCUUCCCAAUGAAUCUCUUGCAUGUCUAAUCUCAUCUUGACAUUUACUUCUGCAAAAAUACUAACUCAUAAAGCUAUUCUGUGAUAGUUCCCUAUUCUUUUGAUGUAGACACACAGGAAACUGUAUCUUCCUGGAAAAUGCUCAUUUGUACAAAUACCAAAAGUGAAAUAAUGGGCUUUCGGGACCCUUCACUACAACAACAUUUAUGUAUUUAAUGAUGGUUUCCUUUGUAAGAAAAUAACUCCUUUUCUUUUACUUAUCUUCAUUACCUAUUACUCAAUUGACAAAGUCACGUUGAAAUCAGAUUUCUACAAUGGACUAGCCACUUCCAAUCUCAGGUAAGUGCCAUUAAACACAUAAUAAACAUUUCACUCUUCUCUGAACUUCA